ACGCUCGACACCUACGGGAGACAGCAGUGGGGAAUAUUGCACAAUGGGGGAAACCCUGAUGCAGCGACGCCGCGUGGAGGAAGAAGGUCUUCGGAUUGUAAACUCCUGUUGUUGGGGAAAAAGAGGAUGGUACCCAACAAGGAAGUGACGGCUAACUACGUGCCACAGCCGCGGUAAUCUGAGCGGGCUGGCAAGGC
This 197-nucleotide ribosomal RNA is filed under the name uncultured bacterium. RNAcentral describes it as "partial 16S ribosomal RNA". It matches the Rfam family "Bacterial small subunit ribosomal RNA", at positions 328 to 539 of the family's 1533-position model. The record is from RNAcentral.